RNAcentral lists this ribosomal RNA (445 nucleotides) under uncultured bacterium. Its description in RNAcentral is "partial 16S ribosomal RNA". It matches the Rfam family "Bacterial small subunit ribosomal RNA", at positions 330 to 792 of the family's 1533-position model. The record is from RNAcentral.
GCCAGACUCCUACGGGAGGCAGCAGUGGGGAAUAUUGCACAAUGGGGGAAACCCUGAUGCAGCAACGCCGCGUGAGUGAAGAAGUAUUUCGGUAUGUAAAGCUCUAUCAGCAGGGAAGAAGAUGACGGUACCUGACCAAGAAGCCCCGGCUAACUACGUGCCAGCAGCCGCGGUAAUACGUAGGGGGCGAGCGUUAUCCGGAUUUACUGGGUGUAAAGGGAGCGUAGACGGUUAAUCAAGUCUGAAGUGAAAGCCCGCGGCUCAACUGCGGAACGGCUUUGGAAACUGAGUAACUGGAGUGCUGGAGGGGCAGGCGGAAUUCCUGGUGUAGCGGUGAAAUGCGUAGAUAUUAGGAAGAACACCAGUGGCGAAGGCGGCUUGCUGGACAGUAACUGACGUUGAGGCUCGAAAGCGUGGGGAGCAAACAGGAUUAGAUACCCUCGUA